RNAcentral lists this ribosomal RNA (808 nucleotides) under uncultured bacterium. Its description in RNAcentral is "bacterial SSU rRNA". It matches the Rfam family "Bacterial small subunit ribosomal RNA", at positions 78 to 871 of the family's 1533-position model. The record is from RNAcentral.
UGACGUUGGGAAAGCGAGCGGCGGAUGGGUGAGUAACACGUGGGGAACCUGCCCCUAAGUCUGGGAUACCAUUUGGAAACAGGUGCUAAUACCGGAUAAUAAAGCAGAUCGCAUGAUCAGCUUUUGAAAGGCGGCGUAAGCUGUCGCUAAGGGAUGGCCCCGCGGUGCAUUAGCUAGUUGGUAAGGUAACGGCUUACCAAGGCGACGAUGCAUAGCCGAGUUGAGAGACUGAUCGGCCACAUUGGGACUGAGACACGGCCCAAACUCCUACGGGAGGCAGCAGUAGGGAAUCUUCCACAAUGGACGCAAGUCUGAUGGAGCAACGCCGCGUGAGUGAAGAAGGUUUUCGGAUCGUAAAGCUCUGUUGUUGGUGAAGAAGGAUAGAGGUAGUAACUGGCCUUUAUUUGACGGUAAUCAACCAGAAAGUCACGGCUAACUACGUGCCAGCAGCCGCGGUAAUACGUAGGUGGCAAGCGUUGUCCGGAUUUAUUGGGCGUAAAGCGAGCGCAGGCGGAAAAAUAAGUCUAAUGUGAAAGCCCUCGGCUUAACCGAGGAACUGCAUCGGAAACUGUUUUUCUUGAGUGCAGAAGAGGAGAGUGGAACUCCAUGUGUAGCGGUGGAAUGCGUAGAUAUAUGGAAGAACACCAGUGGCGAAGGCGGCUCUCUGGUCUGCAACUGACGCUGAGGCUCGAAAGCAUGGGUAGCGAACAGGAUUAGAUACCCUGGUAGUCCAUGCCGUAAACGAUGAGUGCUAAGUGUUGGGAGGUUUCCGCCUCUCAGUGCUGCAGCUAACGCAUUAAGCACUCCG